Molecule: transfer RNA, 88 nt
Filed under: Ceratocystis platani
Lineage: Eukaryota; Fungi; Ascomycota; Sordariomycetes; Microascales; Ceratocystidaceae
Also listed under: 1 other name
Rfam family: tRNA
About the family: Transfer RNA (tRNA) molecules are approximately 80 nucleotides in length. Their secondary structure includes four short double-helical elements and three loops (D, anti-codon, and T loops). Further hydrogen bonds mediate the characteristic L-shaped molecular structure. tRNAs have two regions of fundamental functional importance: the anti-codon, which is responsible for specific mRNA codon recognition, and the 3' end, to which the tRNAs corresponding amino acid is attached (by aminoacyl-tRNA synthetases). tRNAs cope with the degeneracy of the genetic code in two manners: having more than one tRNA (with a specific anti-codon) for a particular amino acid; and 'wobble' base-pairing, i.e. permitting non-standard base-pairing at the 3rd anti-codon position.
Source: Rfam by way of RNAcentral
GGGGAUGUGGUCUAGUGGUAUGACGGAUCCUUAGCACCUUCCAAGGUACAUCUGGAUCAGGUCCGGGGUUCGAUUCCCCGCAUCUCCA